This 460-nucleotide ribosomal RNA is filed under the name uncultured bacterium. Its description in RNAcentral is "partial 16S ribosomal RNA". It matches the Rfam family "Bacterial small subunit ribosomal RNA", at positions 338 to 795 of the family's 1533-position model. The record is from RNAcentral.
CCUACGGGAGGCAGCAGUGAGGAAUAUUGGUCAAUGGGCGCGAGCCUGAACCAGCCACGUAGCGUGAAGGAUGACUGCCCUAUGGGUUGUAAACUUCUUUUAUAUGGGAAUAAAACGUUCCACGUGUGGGAUUUUGUAUGUACCAUAUGAAUAAGGAUCGGCUAACUCCGUGCCAGCAGCCGCGGUAAUACGGAGGAUCCGAGCGGUCUCCGGAUUGAUUGGGGGUAAAGGGAGCGUAGGUGGAUUGUUAAGUCAGGUGUGAAAGUUUGCGGCUCAACCGUAAAAUUGCAGUUGAAACUGGCAGUCUUGAGUACAGUAGAGGUGGGCGGAAUUCGUGGUGUAGCGGUGAAAUGCUUAGAUAUCACGAAGAACACCGAUUGCGAAGGCAGUUCACUGGACUGCAACUGACACUGAGGCUCGAAAGUGUGGGUAUCAAACAGGAUUAGAGACCCUUGUAGUC